Molecule: ribosomal RNA, 347 nt
Filed under: uncultured eukaryote
Lineage: Eukaryota
Description: SSU rRNA
Rfam family: Eukaryotic small subunit ribosomal RNA
Source: RNAcentral
AUAGCGUAUAUUAAAGUUGUUGCAGUUAAAAAGCUCGUAGUUGAACUUCGGGCCUGGCCGGGCGGUCCGCCUAACGGCGUUGUACUGUCUGGCCGGGCCUUACCUCUUGGUGAGCCGGCGUGCCCUUUACUGGGUGCGUCGGGGAACCAGGACUUUUACCUUGAGAAAAUUAGAGUGUUCAAAGCAGGCCUAUGCCCGAAUACAUUAGCAUGGAAUAAUGAAAUAGGACGUGCGGUUCUAUUUUGUUGGUUUCUAGAGUCGCCGUAAUGAUUAAUAGGGACAGUUGGGGGCAUUAGUAUUCAGUUGCUAGAGGUGAAAUUCUUGGAUUUACUGAAGACUAACUAUUG